UUCAUACUCCCUCCGUUCCGAAUUACUUGUCACAGGUAUGGAUGUAUCUAAAUGUAUUUUAGUUCUAGAUACAUCCAUUUUUGCGACGAGUAAUUUGAAACAGAUGGAGUAUAUA
Non-coding RNA from Triticum aestivum (bread wheat), 115 nucleotides. The record is from Rfam. NCBI's taxonomy places the organism in Eukaryota, Viridiplantae, Streptophyta, Magnoliopsida, Poales, Poaceae.